This is a long non-coding RNA of Schistocerca gregaria, 511 nucleotides long. RefSeq lists it as uncharacterized. The record is from RefSeq and is a predicted model, not a curated record. The transcript is spliced from 3 exons. NCBI's taxonomy places the organism in Eukaryota, Metazoa, Arthropoda, Insecta, Orthoptera, Acrididae.
CAGAGACGAGGAAGCUUACACCAACAUCGCUAACAUAGUGUUCAGCUCUAUCCUCCUCUUUGGAGCAUGGAAGGAAAGCUGGUGGCUGUUGCUUUACGCUACCCCGUGGUUGCUCCUACAAAUCCUCCGCUGCACGGCGCCAGCAUAUGAUGAUGAAGACGACAUCACGCAAAGGAUCAAAGCUUUCAUUGUGCUCUGCGUGCGACAAGCCAUUCUGAUCCUGACGAUCCUCUACUGGUGGGAGAUGGGCAAGGCAGCCCACUGACGCUUGGGCAUCGCAGCUCAUGUCGCUCGCCUCACCGUCAUCUCCUUCCUUGUAUCUGAUAAAUUUCCCCAGAUGCGUAAUGGUAAUUUUUGAUUCCAAGUCUCUGUAUUCUUCAUAAAUUGGCGAUAAAAUGUUCACACUUUAAAUACUCGCUGACUGGAUUAGGGAGACGCUGCUCCGAACGCUUGGCGAAUUGAUUAUUUCGAUAUGGAGUGUCAUAGUAGUAUUAAAAAAAAAAAAGAAAAG